This 683-nucleotide ribosomal RNA is filed under the name uncultured phototrophic eukaryote. Its description in RNAcentral is "bacterial SSU rRNA". It matches the Rfam family "Bacterial small subunit ribosomal RNA", at positions 67 to 789 of the family's 1533-position model. The record is from RNAcentral.
CGAGAGUUUUUAACUCAAGUGGCGGACGGGUGAGUAACACGUAAGAAUUUGCUUUUAGGAGGGGGACAACAACUGGAAACGGUUGCUAAUACCCCAUAUGCUUUCGAGUGAAAUGGAUUUUUCCGCCUAGAGAGAAGCUUGCGGCUGAUUAGCUUGUUGGUGAGGUAAUGGCUCACCAAGGCGACGAUCAGUAUCUGGUUUGAGAGGACGAUCAGACACACUGGAACUGAGACACGGUCCAGACUCCUACGGGAGGCAGCAGUGGGGAAUUUUCCGCAAUGGGCGAAAGCCUGACGGAGCAAUACCGCGUGAGGGAUGACGGCCUAUGGGUUGUAAACCUCUUUCUUCAGGGAGGAAUAAAAUGACGUGUACCUGAAGAAUAAGCAUCGGCUAACUCCGUGCCAGCAGCCGCGGUAAGACGGAGGAUGCAAGUGUUAUCCGGAAUCACUGGGCGUAAAGCGUCUGUAGGUGGUCCAAUAAGUCAACUGUUAAAUCUUGAGGCUCAACCUCAAAACCGCAGUCGAAACUAUUAGACUAGAGUAUAGUAGGGGUAAAGGGAAUUUCCAGUGGAGCGGUGAAAUGCGUAGAGAUUGGAAAGAACACCGAUGGCGAAGGCACUUUACUGGGCUAUUACUAACACUCAGAGACGAAAGCUAGGGUAGCAAAUGGGAUUAGAUACCCCA